Molecule: transfer RNA, 73 nt
Filed under: Chloropicon sp. RCC4434
Lineage: Eukaryota; Viridiplantae; Chlorophyta; Chloropicophyceae; Chloropicales; Chloropicaceae
Description: tRNA-Ala
Rfam family: tRNA
About the family: Transfer RNA (tRNA) molecules are approximately 80 nucleotides in length. Their secondary structure includes four short double-helical elements and three loops (D, anti-codon, and T loops).
Source: RNAcentral
GGGGUAAUAGCUCAGUUGGCAGAGCAGGUCUUUUGCAAGGACAAGGUCGAAGGUUCGAAUCCUUUUUAUUCCA